Anastrepha ludens (Mexican fruit fly) is the source of this 922-nucleotide long non-coding RNA. RefSeq lists it as uncharacterized. Lineage: Eukaryota; Metazoa; Arthropoda; Insecta; Diptera; Tephritidae. The transcript is spliced from 2 exons. The record is from RefSeq and is a predicted model, not a curated record.
GCACAUGUGACAGACUUGCGCCGUAGCACUUGUUUACAAAAAAUUAGAUAUUCUCAGAGAGUAUAUACAAGUACAGUGGCAACGUAAAAUCUGUUUGCUUCGCUUGGAUACAAAAUUAACCUUUGAAUAUGAAAAUGAAAAUGGGGAGGUUUGCACUUCGACUUUAAGACCUUUUGUGCCCUCUAUUCAUCACAGUAUUUCAUCCGAGCCCAUUUGCCUCAAUAAAUCUAAGAUGAGGUUGUUCUAAGCGUAUAUGACUGUAUUCUAGCCGUAUCAGAUCGAGAUGUCCCUCUUCUUUUUGCUAUGGCCUAUUCGAGAAAAAGAUGUGUUAGAGCUACCGAAGACUAAUCGCACAGGAGCCAGUGGACCAUUUCGCGAACCUGCGUAAUCUACAAUUCUAAUGAACAUUUCUAGUUGGUUGCGAUUGGAAAUGAAUGGUGGACAAUAUAUAUUUUGAAUUAAAUAAGUUAAGUACACCAAAAUCCACACCCAGUGAAGCUUUUCAUGUUGUACUAACUACUGUACCGUGUAAACGAAAACAGUGAAUUCUUAAAAAUUAAUGAAUAUUUCUUUUAUUAGGAAAUUGUUUAGAUUCUUUAUUUAAUCCUUUAUUAUUUUUCUUGUGGAAUUUUACCACAAUCAGUCCUGUUUUCCUUUGUAUUAAUUGUUGUACUAAUUUUAUUUAACAUUAAAAAGUGUUGUAUUGUUAUUUUACGUAAUUUCUUUCGCCUCGUUUAAUCUUUAUUUUCAUUCAAUUGUAGUAGAAAAUCUAACUUAAUUCACAUUCCAUGUGCGCUUUAGGAGCUCAAUUCUAAAAAAUAUUUAGCAUUAAAUAAAUCAGACAAAAAAUGUAUAAAAUAAUCGAGAUAAUAGAAAUACCGAAAACAGUUGCCAAAAUAUUUAAAAUUAUAUUUGUUCGUAU